Molecule: long non-coding RNA, 5889 nt
Filed under: Lathyrus oleraceus (garden pea)
Lineage: Eukaryota; Viridiplantae; Streptophyta; Magnoliopsida; Fabales; Fabaceae
Description: Pisum sativum (pea) long non-coding RNA (PSAT_LNC032896)
Source: RNAcentral
UGGAGUUAGGGUUAGAAUUUAAUUUUUCGACUCGGGUAUCUUUCAACCAUCCAUCAAGGUAAACUUGGUUGGAGUUAGUGUUCACUUGUGCUUUCUCAUCUCGGGUAUCUUUCAACCAUCCAUCAACGUAAACUUCUUAGGAGUCAGGGGUGGAUUUUGCUUUCUCAUCUCAAGUAUCUUUCAACCAUCCAUCAAGGUAAGCUUGCUUAGAGUCAGGGGAAGAUUUCUCCUUUUCAACUCGGAUAUCUUUCAGGCACCCAUCAAGGUAAACUUUCUUAGAGUCUAGGGUAGAUUUCUCCUUUUCAACUCGGGUAUCUUUCAACCAUCCAUCAAGGUAAGCUUGGUUGGUGUCAGGAUUAGAUUUUGCUUUCUCAGCUCGGGUGUCUUUCAACCAUCCAUCAAGGUAAACUUGGUUUGAGUCAAGGUUGGAGUUUUCUUUCUCUGCUCGAGUAUCUUUCAACCAUCCAUCAAGGUAAACUUGGUUUGAAUCAGGGUUGGCUUUCACUUUCUCGCCUCUAGUAUCUUUCAACCAUCCAUCAAGGUAAACUUGCUUAGAGUCAGGGGCAAAUUUCUCUUUUUCAACUCAGGUAUCUUUCAACCAUCCAUCAUGGUAAACUUGGUUGGAGUCAGGAUUGACUUUUUCUUUCUCUGCUCGAGUAUCUUUUAGCCAUCCAUCAAGGUAAACUUGGUUUGAAUCAGGGUUGGCUUUGGCUUUCUCUCCUCUAGUAUCUUUCAACCAUCCAUCAAGGUAAACUUGCUUAGAGUCAGGGGCGGAUUUCUCCUUUUCAACUCGGGUAUCUUUCAACCAUCCAUCAACGUAAACUUGGUUGGAGUCAGGAUUGACUUUUUCUUUCUCAGCUCGGGUAUCUUUUAGCCAUCCAUCAAGGUAAACUUGGUUGGAGGCAGGGUUGACUUUUUCCUUCUCACCUCGGGUAUCUUUCAAUCAUCCAUCAAGGUAAACUUGGUCGGAGUUUGGGGAGGAUUUUUGGUUCUUCAAUGGAGUGUUUUUUAGCCACCCAUCAAGAUAAGGCUGAUUACCUUGGUUCAUAUCUCUUGCAAAGCUUACAUGGCCAUUCUACAAUACAAUUCAAUAAAGGGAUAUUAGUUAGUGACAAACUAAUUAUAUGUUUUCGGAUGAUAUAUAUGAUUAAAAAAACACAAGUGUGUGAUGAGACACAUUAUGAUGUAUAGGAAAUAAAUAUUCAUUAUGUAUAUACAGGAGAUAGAUAUAUAAUUUUAAAACAUAAAAAAUAGGAAGUAGAAUAUUUUUAAUUUCAUUACUGCAAAAAACAUCAUAAUUUAGUUUAACUUAUAGAAAAACUCGAUUCUGAGUGUGUUGAAUGCAUGGAAAACAAUAAGGAGAAGGAUCUUAGAGGCAUGCAUAAUUUAGUUAAAUCAUAUAGAAAAACUUGAUUCUUAGUGUGUUGAAUGCAUGAAAAAUAACUAAAAGAAAAGGAUCUUAGAAACUUGCAUGUACAAUUGCAAAUAAAGAUGAAAAUGAUAGAUUAUGAAUAUGUUAAAUUUUAUGAAAUUUAACAUGCAUGCACAAUUGCAAAUAAAGAUGAAAAUGAUAGAUUAUUAUGAUAAAUAGAUGAUGAAAAAUAUAAGUGUUAAAGAUAGAAGAAUGCAUGAGAAGCUAAUAACUCACAAUCAACAAGAGCAUGAGUAAAGGAAGGAGAAACAUAACAACUAUGUGUGUCAUUUCUUUCUAUUAUAUUUUAGUGGGAAAUGUUUUGUUGUGAAAUAUGUAUUGGAGCAGAAGUGAAUUGAGCUAUUUAUAGACAAAUAAGAAGAGAAAGUACAAAUAAACAUUAAUACUUUGUUUGGCAAAAUUAUUUUUUAAGUUUUUAAUUCAUUUCUUAUAUUUUGUCAUGUGCUUAUAGCUCAUUGUUAUGAAUUUAUAGCUUAUUUUGAUAAGUUUUUUCAAGUAGUUUAUAAUUUAUCUUUUUUUUUCUUUCAAUUUUAUCAUUGUAAUCUUAAUUGAAAUAUAUAAAAAAUACUCCUUCCGUUUCUUUAUAAGUGUGAUUUUCUUGUAAAAAAAUUGUUUCUCUUUAAUUGUCACUUGCAAAGUUCAAUAAUUAUUAGAAAGAGAAAAAGUAGAGUGAAUGUAAUAAAUAAUUAAGGAUAUUAUUAUAGAUAAAAGAAUUAUUAUUUAAAAAAUAACAAUAAUAAUUAGUUUCCUUAAUAUGUAUAAAAAAAUAAUAAAAAAAUACUUAAAAAAAAAAGGAGAGAAUAAUAAUUAAACAUAUUUUUUUAUGACAUUUCAUAUUUUCAAACUACAUUAAUUUUGUAAAUUUAAGCGGCUACCUUAUCAGUCAUAUGCAAUAACAAUACUUAUUUUUUUUAUAUAAAAAAAGGCUAACCUUAGAAAAAUGAUGUUUGGACAUAAACAGUACUAUGAAGCACUUAUACACAUUCACAUCUUCAUCAAUUGUUUAUGUGAUCUUUUGUGUAUUUUUAAAAAUUGGUUGUAAAAAGUAGAGGAUAUAAAGAUAAUCACAUAUUACUUUCUUGUUUUCUCCUCUAUUAUCUUAAUUAAAAAAUUACAUUAAUUAAACAUAUUAUAUUAUGUAACGUUAUUUUACAAUUAACGGUAGUCCAACUUUAAUUUUACUAAACAUUAUAGGUUGAUUAUAGAGGAUUGUAAUUUCUUAUUCAAUUCUUAGAUAAGUAUUUAACAUUAAAAUUGUUACAAAAUUGCAAUAAUAGUCUAAUUUUAUUAAAUUCACUUGUGCUAUGUUGGUAGGUGCUUGGUAGUAGGGGGAAACCUUAUCCAAUGUUUCUGAAUGUUGUGCAUGAGACCAGGCUAAUCUACAUCAUGAAGAAACAAUGGAAAUUCUUAACCUUAUCUUAUGUCAUAUACUAAAUCUUAUUCUACCAUUAACAAGUCCUAGAAAUUUACAUUAAUUAAGUUGACUUCAAUUUAAUCCAAUAGAAUAUGAUAUAAACUUAGUUUUUCCAUAAUCUUUGUCUCUAUAGAACCUAUUAUUUUCUUAUCAUUAUCAUGAUUGAACAAUGAUUGAUAUUGGUUCUUUACAUUAUAGAAUUGAGACGAUGUCAGAUAUUCAUUACUACAAACAGAAUUACAAUACAAAAGAUAACCCAUAAAUCACACGUAAUAACACUAAGAUAAUUGCUUUAAACUCCUUACUUAGAGGUCUAACAAACAACUAUCUAAGUUUGAAAAACUAAAGAGACGCCAACACAAUUAUCUCGUUUCUAAAAACAAGACCUUAUUUAGUGCACAACCAAGACCUUACAGGACACCAAAAUUAUAGAAAUUAAAAGCAUAGAAACAACAUGAAAAGUUUUGGGACAGACAUCGACUAACCUAUAUGAACUAGUUUCCUUUUAUUCACUUAGUGGCAUCUGAUGGGGUUGGCACCCAUAAGACAUGCUUAACAGGGAAGAAAUGACAUAAUGGACCUUCCCCAGGCUUCAUUCCAAGUAGGUCAAAUAUAAAAUGAUUAGGAUUCAUGGCAGAUGUGUCUAGGUGGCAAAUUCCCAAAGCAUUCAUUAUGUCUCCAUAUUCACCUUUUAGAAGAACUUUGAAGAUCUUACUCCCUAUGUCUAGGUAGUGGCAAUAGUAAAGUGCAUAUGGGUAAGGCCUAGGGUGACAUGCUACCCAUUUAGGAGCAUAAAUAUCCUUUGAGAUAUCCAAAACUGUGUAGUUCUGCAAAGGUGCACCUGAUGUUGUGGGAUAGCUAGUCGAGUGAAUGUUAUAAUUAGUCUCAGCACCAAUAAUACCAUGAACAAAUUCAAGCAUGGACUCUAAAGAAGUAGGACAAGCCUUGGUCUCCCCUUUAUUGGGUUCAGACUCACAUUGAUUAAUUACGUCUAUCAUGUCUUCACCUUGAGGAGAAUCUUUUGUGAGUGAGAAUAGUUGAAGAAGGCUUGGGCUUUGUGAUUUGGAGACAGGAAUGUCGUCGGCUACUUUUCUUGGCAAGAACGGAGCAUAUUCUCUGAUAGGAAAUUGCAAGGUCAUUACAUUUCCUACAUAAAGAUCAUCUAGACUGAAAAAAGCUACCUUGAAUGCUUCUGUAUGGUCAACUUUUGAAGAUAGUUUUCCAUUCGAUUCUUCCAAGUGUUGUCCAUUUUUCAUGUCGUUCUCUGCAUGCGAGUCUUUUAACCAACCAUCAAGGUAAGCUUGCUUGGAAUUUGGGAUGGAUUUUGCAUUCUCAACAUGGUUAUCUUUCAACCAUCCAUCAAGAUAAAUUAGGUUAGAGUUAGGGGAGGAAUUUUCUUUCUCUGCUCGUGUAUCUUUCAACCAUCCAUCAAGGUAAACUUGGUUGGAGUCAGAGUUAACUAUUGCCUUCUCAGCUCGGGUAUCUUUCAACCAUCCAUCAACGUAAACUUGGUUGGAGUCAGGGGUGGAUUUUGCUUUCUCAUCUCGGGUAUCUUUCAACCAUCCAUCAAGGUAAACUUGGUUGGAGUCAGGGUUGACUUUGACUUUCUCCGCUCUAGUAUCUUUCAACCAUCCAUCAAGAUAAACUCGGUUGGAGUCAGAGUUGGAUUUUGCUUUUUGGACUCGGAUAUCUUUCAACCAUCCAUCAAGGUAAAUUUGGUUGGAGUCAGGGUUGACUUUUUCUUUCUCGGCUCUAGUAUCUUUCAACCAUCCAUCCAGGUAAACUUGGUUGGAGUCAGGGUUGACUUUUUCUUUCUCGCCUCGGGUAUCUUUCAACCAUCCAUCAAGGUAAACUUGGUUGGAGUCAUGGUUGGAUUUUUCUUUCUCACCUCGGGUAUCUUUCAACCAUCCAUCAAGGUAAACUUGGUUGGAGUCAGGGUUGACUUUUUCUUUCUCGGCCCGGGUAUCUUUCAACCACCCAUCAAGGUAAACUUCGUUGGAGUCAGAGUUGACUUUUUCUUUUUGAACUCGAGUAUCUUUCAACCAUCUAUCAAGGUAAACUUGGUUGGAGUCAGAGCUGGCUUUUUCUUUUUGGACUCGGGUAUCUUUCAACCAUCCAUCAAGGUAAACUUGGUUGGAGUUAGGGUUGUGUUUUUCUUUCUCAGCUCGGCUAUCUUUCAACCAUCCAUCAAGGUAAACUUGGUUGGAGUCAGGGUUGCUUUUUUCUUUCUCGGCUCGGGUAUCUUUCAACCAUCCAUCAAGGUAAACUUGGUUGGAUUUUUCUUUCUCAUCUCGGGUAUCUUUCAACCAUCCAUCAAGGUAAACUUGGUUGGAGUCAGGGUUGAUUUUUUCUUUCUCGGCUCGUGUAUCUUUCAACCAUCCAUCAAGGUAAACUUGGUUAGAAUCAGGAUUGACUUUUUCUUUCUCAGCCCGAGUAUCUUUCAACCAUCCAUCAAGGUAAACUAGAUUUGAGUCAGGGUUGACUUUUGCUUUCUCGGUUCGGGAAAGGUAAACUUGGUUAGAAUCAGGAUUGACUUUUUCUUUCUCAGCCCGAGUAUCUUUCAACCAUCCAUCAAGGUAAACUAGAUUUGAGUCAGGGUUGACUUUUGCUUUCUCGGUUCGGGUAUCUUUCAACCAUCCAUCAAGGUAAACUUGGUUGGAGUCAAGGUUGACUUUUGCUUUCUCACCUCGAGUAUCUUUCAACCAUCCAUCAAGGUAAACUUGGUCGGAGUUAGGGGAGGGUUUUUGGUUCUUCAAUGGAGUGUUUUUGAGCCACCCAUCAAGAUAAGGCUGAUCAACUUGGUUCAUAUCUCUUGCAAGGCUUCCAUGGUCAUUCUACAAUACAAUUGAAUAAAGAGAUAUUAACGAGUGACAAACUAAUUACAUGUUUUGGAUGGUAUAUAUGAUUAUAAAAAUACAACUGUGUUAUGAGACACAUUUUGUUGUAUAGGGAAGAAAUCUUCAUUAUGUAUAUACAGGAUAUAGAUACAUAAUUUGAAACCUAAAAAAUAGGAAGUAGAGUAUUUUUAAUUGCAUUACAGAAG